AAUGAGAUCCUACCAUUUAUCCCUGAGACCAUCCCCUGGGGGCCAGCCUAGAGACCUUGCUGCCCCUGGCCUCUCCCUGUCUUUCCCCUCCCUCUCCCACCCUGCCCUACCAGCAGGUCCCAACCGAGAGGGUCUUAGGAGCCGGGCGUUGAGAGGAGCCAUUACCAUCCAUCAGCUCCCACCAAGAGUUAAUGCUGUUAAGAUGCAGUGAGAGAGGUUCACUAAACUGCUGCUGCCCCCGGAAGGUGCAGAUGAGGCCUUAUCGUGGACAUCAGCUCCCUGAUGAAAAUGUGUUCCAAUGGCACAGGCCAGAAGGGGCUAACUGGCCUGACAGGCAGCUCUGCAGAAAGCAAACUCAAAGCAAGACCAGGACUCAGGAUCUGGCGACCUCGCCAAAGAAGGUUGACAAGCCAGUCAUGCUUUUGAUCGGCCAAUCCCCAAGCCUGACAUCGUUUUAUCUUCUAACUGACAAAUAUUUUAGGGGGAACAGACUGUAUCAGUCAUCUACUUAUCAAAGUAGAGCGCUUUUAAUUGAAAUUUUAAAAGCACUUUUUUUCAAGCUAAUGGACAUUGUAAGUUAUGCAGUACCAACGGCGCUGCAAUGGAAGUAGA
This is a long non-coding RNA of Oncorhynchus keta (chum salmon), 612 nucleotides long. RefSeq lists it as uncharacterized. The record is from RefSeq and is a predicted model, not a curated record. NCBI's taxonomy places the organism in Eukaryota, Metazoa, Chordata, Actinopteri, Salmoniformes, Salmonidae. The transcript is spliced from 3 exons.